AGUGAACGCUGGCGGUAGGCCUAACACAUGCAAGUCGAACGGCAGCACAGUAAGAGCUUGCUCUUACGGGUGGCGAGUGGCGGACGGGUGAGGAAUACAUCGGAAUCUACUUUUUCGUGGGGGAUAACGUAGGGAAACUUACGCUAAUACCGCAUACGACCUACGGGUGAAAGCAGGGGAUCUUCGGACCUUGCGCGAUUGAAUGAGCCGAUGUCGGAUUAGCUAGUUGGCGGGGUAAAGGCCCACCAAGGUGACGAUCCGUAGCUGGUAUGAGAGGAUGGUCAGCCAGACUGUAACUGAGACACGGUCCAGACUCCUACGGGAGGCAGCAGUGGGGAAUAUUGGACAAUGGGCGCAAGCCUGAUCCAGCCAUACCGCGUGGGUGAAGAAGGCCUUCGGGUUGUAAAGCCCUUUUGUUGGGAAAGAAAAGCAGCAGGUUAAUACCCCGCUGUUCUGACGGUACCCAAAGAAUAAGCACCGGCUAACUUCGUG
RNAcentral lists this ribosomal RNA (492 nucleotides) under uncultured bacterium. RNAcentral's name for it is "partial 16S ribosomal RNA". It matches the Rfam family "Bacterial small subunit ribosomal RNA", at positions 29 to 507 of the family's 1533-position model. The record is from RNAcentral.